UCCCUCUUAGCUCAGUUGAUAGAGUGCGUCACUAGUAUUGUUUCGGUACAUGAUCAGUUAUGACGAGGUCAGUCGUUCAAGUCGGCUAGAGGGAA
This 95-nucleotide transfer RNA is filed under the name Armillaria solidipes. RNAcentral's name for it is "tRNA-Thr". Lineage: Eukaryota; Fungi; Basidiomycota; Agaricomycetes; Agaricales; Physalacriaceae. The record is from RNAcentral.